GAUAGAAAGACAAUGGCCACUAAGAGGUAAAGAUGCAGAAGAAACCCCGCGGCGAAGCGGCUAGCAGCCCGACAUCUGUCUCUUUUCUUUAACAUUCAGGAUUAAUAUUCCUACGCCUCUCCUGGCUUGGGUGGGCAACAUCUGCUUGAAGGGGUUGAAUGUGAGUUCGUCUGUCCAACAGCUGAAGCGUGGUCCAAACCUGGUCGUCGAAAGAACAUUGAUCCCAAACACAGCAGCUAGUCUACGACAAGACUGACUGAAAAAGAAAAGACUCAAGGUGCUCCAAUGGCCUAGUCAAAGUUCAGACUGCAGCCUGACUUAAAUGCUGUGGUGGGACCUUCAGAGACUUGAGCAGAACCAUUAAUGAACUGCAUCUUCAAGGACAUUUUUAGCAGUUUUCUUCACUGUCCAGCUUCUAUAAUUGAACCAACAGUUCUGUGACAGCAUUGAUGUUCUCAACAUCAUCAUCAAUGGAGGUCAGGCUCCAAAGAGGAGGUUUCUCUGCUUAACCUCAUGACAGACUUUCUUUUCUGAUUGAUAAAAGAACCCUCAAUGAAACUCAUUAAUGAGGGGGCCACUUCAGGCUACCUGGUGGAAAAUCCUUGUCCUGGAUGUUCAGGUGAGCUGCAGUGAGCUUCCUUCUCAUCAGACCUAAAAUAGGAGAGCUCUUCCUCUCAGAUGCCUCUGACAGCAGAGCAGGUGGACAUGUUGAGUAAGAAACCACGGCAACAAGCGUUAAGAUGGUUUCCUCCAUGUGAAGUGAACAUGCUAAUCAGAGCGUGUCACCAUGGAGGAGAAGGGUUUAGCAGGACCCGAGUGGCCGUCUGAAUACAUUCAGAAAGUAUUCAUACAUCUGUGUGGAGGUUCUCACUAACAGCCAACAGGAAGUGACAUAAAGGUGCCAUAAGGUCAUCAGAUUAUGAUCUUCUGGGAUCACAUGACACAGAGCUCUUCAAGCACGGGUUCUUCAUCAACCUCCUCCAGUAUCCAGAAGGAUUUGCUGAAAGACUUAAUCUGAUUAAGGGGUCAGUUCCUUCUGUCUAUGGAAAUGACGGACAUAGCAAAGCGGUGAUGCUCUUGUGCAACAGUUUGACAGCUUUCUCUCUCAGCAUGGCAACAGCCAGGAGUUUCUCUCCUUCAAACCCAUGAAUCAGCGGCUUGAUGUUUUUCUUCAUCAAACUCUCAACCGGGCUUAUCCUGAGUUCUUGAGUUUUUUUUUUUCAACGCCUGCUGCUCUUAUCUCAUGGCCAAGCUACAGUGGAGAGAGGCUUCUCUGUCAACAAGGAAGUGGAAAUCUGCAACAUAACUGAACAAACUGUUGAGGCCCAGAGACUAGUCUGUGACCAGGUCAGAGCUUGUGGGGGUGUUCUCAAAGUGCCACUCACUAAAGAACUACUGGCUCCUGUAGCCUCAGCCAGGACAAAAUACAGGAUGUACCUGGAGGAAGAGAGGAGGAAGUGAGAGGUUGCAAUGCGUGGACUUAAAAGAAAAGCAGUGGAGGAUGAUCUGGAAGCACUGAGAAAGAAAAAAGCUGUGUUGAGGAGGAGGAGACACAAGGAGAAAUGCCUUGAACUCAAAAACGUUGAGACAGAGUUGCAGCAAAAAGGAAAUGAACUAAAACUUGUGCAGUAUUAAGCAUACACAAUUAUUAAAGAUGAUCAUUUUCAAACGGUUACAAUUGUUUCUGUGUGUGUGUUUUCAUAUAUACAUUAUCUGCACAGUUGGACAUGGGCAUUAAAAUAGUUAAAAAUAGCAUUAAACAGCAUUAAACUAGA
Molecule: long non-coding RNA, 1775 nt
Organism: Girardinichthys multiradiatus
Lineage: Eukaryota; Metazoa; Chordata; Actinopteri; Cyprinodontiformes; Goodeidae
Exons: 4
Source: RefSeq, a predicted model, not a curated record